Molecule: ribosomal RNA, 754 nt
Filed under: uncultured bacterium
Lineage: Bacteria
Description: bacterial SSU rRNA
Rfam family: Bacterial small subunit ribosomal RNA
Source: RNAcentral
GUCGAACGAGACCUUCGGGUCUAGUGGCGCACGGGUGCGUAACGCGUAGGCAAUCUACCCGAUACAGGGGAAUAACACGGGGAAACUCGUGCUAAUACCGCGUAAUAAAUGAGAAGGCAUCUUCUUAUUUUAAAAGCUUCGGCGGUAUCGGAAGAGCCUGCGUCCUAUUAGCUAGUUGGUAAGGUAACAGCUUACCAAGGCGACGAUAGGUAGGGGAACUGAGAGGUUGAUCCCCCACACUGGUACUGAGAUACGGACCAGACUCCUACGGGAGGCAGCAGUGAGGAAUAUUGGUCAAUGGACGGAAGUCUGAACCAGCCAUGCCGCGUGUCGGAAGACGGCCCUCUGGGUUGUAAACGGCUUUUCUUUGGGAAGAACACGCUCUUGCGAGAGCAACUGACGGUACCAAAGGAAUAAGCACCGGCUAACUACGUGCCAGCAGCCGCGGUAAUACGUAGGGUGCAAGCGUUGUCCGGAUUUAUUGGGUUUAAAGGGUGCGUAGGCGGCUAUUUAAGUCGUGGGUGAAAGCCCGUCGCUUAACGACGGAAUUGCCUGCGAUACUGGAUAGCUUGAGUAUCGUUAAGGUUGGCGGAAUGGGAGGUGUAGCGGUGAAAUGCAUAGAUACCUUCCAGAACACCGAUUGCGUAGGCAGCUGACUAGGCGAUAACUGACGCUGAGGCACGAAAGCGUGGGGAGCGAACAGGAUUAGAUACCCUGGUAGUCCACGCCGUAAACGAUGAUGACUCGUUGUUGG